This 408-nucleotide long non-coding RNA is filed under the name Vitis vinifera (wine grape). RNAcentral's name for it is "long non-coding RNA (VVIN_LNC004821)". Lineage: Eukaryota; Viridiplantae; Streptophyta; Magnoliopsida; Vitales; Vitaceae. The record is from RNAcentral.
UCCGACGCUUUCCUUCCAGUCGCUGACAUCCCAUUCCAGGCUUAUCCUUCCCGGUUCUAAGGCAAAAAUCACUGUCUCUGUCGCUCACCGCAUCACGGCCUCUCUCUCUGAUCCCAAACCCAAACCCUCAUCUGCCGUUUCUGCCUCCAUCUCCACCGCCGCCCCUGUGGCCACAUCGUCGGAGACCUUCAUUUCCAGAUUUGCCCCCGACGAGCCCCGGAAGGGCUGCGAUGUUCUCGUGGAAGCUCUCGAGCGGGAGGGCGUGAAACACGUAUUCGCAUAUCCAGGUGGCGCCUCCAUGGAGAUCCAUCAAGCCUUGACUCGCUCCAACAUCAUCCGAAAUGUGUUGCCGAGACACGAGCAAGGCGGCGUCUUUGCCGCUGAAGGCUACGCCCGCGCGUCCGGUCG